RNAcentral lists this ribosomal RNA (1181 nucleotides) under Geobacillus sp. AT06. Its description in RNAcentral is "bacterial SSU rRNA". It matches the Rfam family "Bacterial small subunit ribosomal RNA", at positions 240 to 1409 of the family's 1533-position model. The record is from RNAcentral. Lineage: Bacteria; Bacillati; Bacillota; Bacilli; Caryophanales; Anoxybacillaceae.
AUUAGCUAGUUGGUGAGGUAACGGCUCACCAAGGCGACGAUGCGUAGCCGGCCUGAGAGGGUGACCGGCCACACUGGGACUGAGACACGGCCCAGACUCCUACGGGAGGCAGCAGUAGGGAAUCUUCCGCAAUGGGCGAAAGCCUGACGGAGCGACGCCGCGUGAGCGAAGAAGGCCUUCGGGUCGUAAAGCUCUGUUGUGAGGGACGAAGGAGCGCCGUUCGAAGAGGGCGGCGCGGUGACGGUACCUCACGAGAAAGCCCCGGCUAACUACGUGCCAGCAGCCGCGGUAAUACGUAGGGGGCGAGCGUUGUCCGGAAUUAUUGGGCGUAAAGCGCGCGCAGGCGGUCUCUUAAGUCUGAUGUGAAAGCCCACGGCUCAACCGUGGAGGGUCAUUGGAAACUGGGGGACUUGAGGGCAGGAGAGGAAAGCGGAAUUCACGGUGUAGCGGUGAAAUGCGUAGAGAUGUGGAGGAACACCAGUGGCGAGGGCGGUUUUCUGCCUUGCACUUGACGCUGAGGCGCGAAAGCGUGGGGAGCAAACAGGAUUAGAUACCUUGUUAUUCCACGCCGUAAACGAUGAGUGUUAAGUGUUAGAGGGGUCACACCCUUUAGUGCUGCAGCUAACGCGAUAAGCAUUCCCCUUGGGGAGUACGGCCGCAAGGCUGAAAUUCAAAGGAAUUGACGGGGGCCCGCCCAAGCGGUGGACCAUGUGGUUUAAUUGGAAGCAACGCGAAGACCCUUACCAGUUCUUGACUUCCCCUGCCAACCCAAGAGAUUGGGCGUUCCCCCUUCGGGGGGACAGGGUGACAGGUGGUGCAUGGUUGUCGUCAGCUCGUGUCGUGAGAUGUUGGGUUAAGUCCCGCAACGAGCGCAACCCUCGCCUCUAGUUGCCAGCAUUCGGUUGGGCACUCUAGAGGGACUGCCGGCGACAAGUCGGAGGAAGGUGGGGAUGACGUCAAAUCAUCAUGCCCCUUAUGACCUGGGCUACACACGUGCUACAAUGGGCGGUACAAAGGGCUGCGAACCCGCGAGGGGGAGCGAAUCCCAAAAAGCCGCUCUCAGUUCGGAUUGCAGGCUGCAACUCGCCUGCAUGAAGCCGGAAUCGCUAGUAAUCGCGGAUCAGCAUGCCGCGGUGAAUACGUUCCCGGGCCUUGUACACACCGCCCGUCACACCACGAGA